Molecule: long non-coding RNA, 1237 nt
Organism: Erinaceus europaeus (western European hedgehog)
Lineage: Eukaryota; Metazoa; Chordata; Mammalia; Eulipotyphla; Erinaceidae
Exons: 3
Source: RefSeq, a predicted model, not a curated record
UUGUGCUUAACCUGUUGUGUUGCUGCCCAGCACCCCACUGCUUUUAUGGCAAUAACAGCUGGGUGGAAAAAGAGAUAUGUGGCUGGUUAUGCAAAAAAAAAGUCUUGUGCCUGAGGAUCCAAAAUCCCAGGUUCAAUCUCCAGCACUACCAUAAACCGGAGCUGAGAAGUGCUCUAGUCUCUGUCUCUCUCAGUAGCUCUCUCUCUCUCUUGUUAGUGUAAAUUAAAAAAUUACCUAAAAAAGAUACUAUGAGACAAUGCAGGAAUUUUGCAUACCAGGCCUUCCUACAGGGUGAGGAAGUAGUUGCUAAAGUCCUUGCAGAGAGUUUUUCCCUAAACAACACCUUAAUACAGCCUCUUCUAUGUCAGUUUGCCAGUAAUUUGACAGUGUUUUGCAAAAUUGUAUUAUUUCAGGGCUACUCUCACCUUCACAGGGUUUCUAUGAAACAAAACACCCUCCACCAUUAUUCUUGCAACACACAAACACCAUUGUUCUAACAAACUUCAGGUGGCACCUUGGUUACAUUUUUUUUUGUUUUGUUUGUAAGUGUGUUUGGUUUAGUCACCUUUAUUCUAUAUCCAACAGGAACCAUCUGGUGCUGUCUUCACUGUACUUCACCUAGUGCUCCAGGUAGUACAGAUAAGUACAAAUUCUACAGAUGAGGAAGUAUAAGGAGACUUAGUAUUUAAGUGUAAGAAUAAUGAGUGCAGGCACUGUAAUUUUUUUUUUUUGAUAUUUUGAUUAAAUUGCAUUGGUUUAAAACAUAUCCCUGUUUAUUGUUCCAGAGAAGUGCUCAGCUUUGACUUGUGGUGUGAGAGACUCAAUCUGGAACUUUGAAGCCUCAGGUGCCAUACUGUCCAGUGGAGAGGCUGUGCUGCUAGAUUUAAAACAGAGUAUCAAGCUACUUCUGUAACUUAUCUUUAAUUUUCUGGCCUGAAAGACAUGUAGGGAAAGAGGAAGAGAUGGCAGUUUCUUGGGAAUACCAAAAGAGACCACCUGGGACCACAACAAGACAGGACUAGAACCACUUCAGGAACCCACCAAAUCACUGGUGAGUGCAAACACAGGUGGCUCAUGGACAGAGAGAAACCUAGGGAGAGAUUAAGUGGCUGGUAACAGUCCAGCAGUUUACCAGUUGAGACUCCAUCUCCAGUCUGUUUCACCAACAAAAAGACAGCUGAAGGGAGGAGAGGACUCCCCAGAGACUCACCAAAUGCAACUCUGGGUCUCCAUUGCU